UGGAGAAAUACCUCUUGCAAUUGAUGUACUCUGAGGCAAGGUGGUUGAGAUGCUAACAGAUGCAUAGGGGGAUGACAGUGGCUACAUUGCCAAUCAAACUGGUAACCCUUAAGAUGAAGCAACAUCCUGACAUACUUAUCCCCAGCAAUGAAUCUUCAAGCUACUUCCAAGAUCUACUGAUCAUACAUACUUCCUUCUGCUGUUCCA
Molecule: non-coding RNA, 207 nt
Organism: Pelodiscus sinensis (Chinese soft-shelled turtle)
Lineage: Eukaryota; Metazoa; Chordata; Testudines; Trionychidae
Source: RefSeq, a predicted model, not a curated record